RNAcentral lists this ribosomal RNA (912 nucleotides) under uncultured Comamonadaceae bacterium. RNAcentral describes it as "SSU rRNA". It matches the Rfam family "Bacterial small subunit ribosomal RNA", at positions 8 to 916 of the family's 1533-position model. Lineage: Bacteria; Pseudomonadati; Pseudomonadota; Betaproteobacteria; Burkholderiales; Comamonadaceae. The record is from RNAcentral.
AGAGUUUGAUCCUGGCUCAGAUUGAACGCUGGCGGAAUGCUUUACACAUGCAAGUCGAACGGCAGCACGGGGGCAACCCUGGUGGCGAGUGGCGAACGGGUGAGUAAUACAUCGGAACGUGCCCAGUCGUGGGGGAUAACUACGCGAAAGCGUAGCUAAUACCGCAUACGAUCUACGGAUGAAAGCGGGGGAUCGCAAGACCUCGCGCGAUUGGAGCGGCCGAUGGCAGAUUAGGUAGUUGGUGGGGUAAAGGCUCACCAAGCCUGCGAUCUGUAGCUGGUCUGAGAGGACGACCAGCCACACUGGGACUGAGACACGGCCCAGACUCCUACGGGAGGCAGCAGUGGGGAAUUUUGGACAAUGGGCGAAAGCCUGAUCCAGCCAUUCCGCGUGCAGGAUGAAGGCCCUCGGGUUGUAAACUGCUUUUGUACGGAACGAAACGCGCUGAGUUAAUACCUUGGCGUAAUGACGGUACCGUAAGAAUAAGCACCGGCUAACUACGUGCCAGCAGCCGCGGUAAUACGUAGGGUGCAAGCGUUAAUCGGAAUUACUGGGCGUAAAGCGUGCGCAGGCGGUGAUGUAAGACAGAUGUGAAAUCCCCGGGCUCAACCUGGGAACUGCAUUUGUGACUGCAUCGCUGGAGUGCGGCAGAGGGGGAUGGAAUUCCGCGUGUAGCAGUGAAAUGCGUAGAUAUGCGGAGGAACACCGAUGGCGAAGGCAAUCCCCUGGGCCUGCACUGACGCUCAUGCACGAAAGCGUGGGGAGCAAACAGGAUUAGAUACCCUGGUAGUCCACGCCCUAAACGAUGUCAACUGGUUGUUGGUCCUUCACUGGAUCAGUAACGAAGCUAACGCGUGAAGUUGACCGCCUGGGGAGUACGGCCGCAAGGUUGAAACUUAAAGGAAUUGACGG